AAUAAGGUGCCUGACUAAAGGACUAUUUUGAUAGAAUAGAUUAAGUAUAUUUUACCCUUAUUA
This 63-nucleotide transfer RNA is filed under the name Ischnobaenella hainana. RNAcentral's name for it is "tRNA-Ile". Lineage: Eukaryota; Metazoa; Arthropoda; Insecta; Hemiptera; Reduviidae. The record is from RNAcentral.